This 484-nucleotide ribosomal RNA is filed under the name uncultured bacterium. Its description in RNAcentral is "partial 16S ribosomal RNA". It matches the Rfam family "Bacterial small subunit ribosomal RNA", at positions 30 to 507 of the family's 1533-position model. The record is from RNAcentral.
AUUGAACGCUGGCGGCAGGCCUAACACAUGCAAGUCGAGCGGAUGAAGGGAGCUUGCUCCUGGAUUCAGCGGCGGACGGGUGAGUAAUGCCUAGGAAUCUGCCUGGUAGUGGGGGAUAACGUCCGGAAACGGGCGCUAAUACCGCAUACGUCCUGAGGGAGAAAGUGGGGGAUCUUCGGACCUCACGCUAUCAGAUGAGCCUAGGUCGGAUUAGCUAGUUGGUGGGGUAAAGGCCUACCAAGGCGACGAUCCGUAACUGGUCUGAGAGGAUGAUCAGUCACACUCGAACUGGGACACGGUCCAGACUCCUACGGGAGGCAGCAGUGGGGAAUAUUGGACAAUGGGCGAAAGCCUGAUCCAGCCAUGCCGCGUGUGUGAAGAAGGUCUUCGGAUUGUAAAGCACUUUAAGUUGGGAGGAAGGGCAGUAAGUUAAUACCUUGCUGUUUUGACGUUACCAACAGAAUAAGCACCGGCUAACUUCGUG